Molecule: ribosomal RNA, 477 nt
Filed under: uncultured bacterium
Lineage: Bacteria
Description: bacterial SSU rRNA
Rfam family: Bacterial small subunit ribosomal RNA
Source: RNAcentral
GACGCUGGCGGCGUGCUUAACACAUGCAAGUCGAACGGAACUCAUUGGAUCAAGACUUCGGUCAAGUGAAUUUGAGUUUAGUGGCGGACGGGUGAGUAACGCGUGAGGAACCUGCCUUUCAGAGGGGGACAACAGUUGGAAACGACUGCUAAUACCGCAUAACGCGUAGAGGUCGCAUGGCCUUUACGCCAAAGAUUUAUCGCUGAAAGAUGGCCUCGCGUCUGAUUAGCUAGAUGGAGAGGUAACGGCUCACCAUGGCGACGAUGUCUAGGGGAACUGAGAGGUUAAUCCCCCACACUGGUACUGAGACACGGACCAGACUCCUACGGGAGGCAGCAGUGGGGAAUAUUGGGCAAUGGGGGAAACCCUGACCCAGCAACGCCGCGUGAAGGAAGAAGGCCUUCGGGUUGUAAACUUCUUUUAGCAGAGACGAAGAACGUGACGGUACCUGCAGAAAAAGCAACGGCUAACUACGUG